Molecule: non-coding RNA, 74 nt
Organism: Rhincodon typus (whale shark)
Lineage: Eukaryota; Metazoa; Chordata; Chondrichthyes; Orectolobiformes; Rhincodontidae
Source: the annotation of a RefSeq genome assembly
GGUUGGUUAGCUCAGCUGGUUAGAGUGUGGUGCUAAUCACACCAAGGUUAUGGGUUCAAUCUCCAUACUGACCA